AGUCAAUAGAUACCCUGGUAGUCCACGCCGUAAACGAUGAGUACUAGGUGUAGGAGGUAUCGACUCCUUCUGUGCCGCAGUUAACACAAUAAGUACUCCGCCUGGGAAGUACGGUCGCAAGAUUAAAACUCAAAGGAAUUGACGGGGGCCCGCACAAGCAGCGGAGCAUGUGGUUUAAUUCGAAGCAACGCGAAGAACCUUACCUAGACUUGACAUCUCCUGAAUAGCGUAGAGAUACGUGAAGCCCUUCGGGGUCGAGGAAGACAGGUGGUGCAUGGUUGUCGUCAGCUCGUGUCGUGAGAUGUUGGGUUAAGUCCCGCAACGAGCGCAACCCUUAUCAUUAGUUGCUACCAUUAAGUUGAGCACUCUAGUGAGACUGCCCGGGUUAACCGGGAGGAAGGCGGGGAUGACGUCAAAUCAUCAUGCCCCUUAUGUCUAGGGCUACACACGUGCUACAAUGGUGAGAACAACGAGAUGCAAUACCGCGAGGUGGAGCCAAACUUGAAAACUCAUCCCAGUUCGGAUUGCAGG
This 531-nucleotide ribosomal RNA is filed under the name uncultured bacterium. RNAcentral's name for it is "bacterial SSU rRNA". It matches the Rfam family "Bacterial small subunit ribosomal RNA", at positions 774 to 1304 of the family's 1533-position model. The record is from RNAcentral.